RNAcentral lists this ribosomal RNA (763 nucleotides) under Florenciella parvula. RNAcentral describes it as "partial Bacterial large subunit ribosomal RNA". It matches the Rfam family "Bacterial large subunit ribosomal RNA", at positions 364 to 1129 of the family's 2925-position model. Lineage: Eukaryota; Dictyochophyceae; Florenciellales. The record is from RNAcentral.
GUGAAAGCCCCGUACGUGAAAAGCGAGCAGACUGAGCAGGAUCCAGAGUACCACGAGACACGUGGAACCUUGUGGGAAAUCAGGGGGACCACCCCCUAAGGCUAAAUACUACUUAGUGACCGAUAGCGCAUAGUACUGUGAAGGAAAGGUGAAAAGGACCCCGGGAGGGGAGUGAAAGAGAACCUGAAACCCUGUGUUUACAAGCUGUGGAACAUCUUUAUAUGAUGAACCGCGUACUUUUUGUAGAACGGUCCGGCGAGUUGUGCAUGCUGGCAAGGUUAAAUCCUUUAGGGAUGGAGCCGUAGGGAAACCAAGUCUUAAGAGGGCCAGAGUCAGUAUGUGCAGACCCGAAACCGGGUGAUCUAUCCAUGUCCAGGUUGAAGCUGCCGUAAAAGGCAGUGGAGGACCGAACCCACAUCCGUUGAAAAGGGUGGGGAUGAGGUGUGGAUAGGGGAGAAAUUCCAAUCGAACCCGGAGAUAGCUGGUUCUCCUCGAAAUAGCUUUAGGGCUAGCCUCGGUAGAGAUUCGCGGAGGUAGAGCACUGAAUUUCCUAGGGGGCGUCAAAGCUUACCGAAGAAUAUCAAACUCCGAAUGCCGUAGAAUUGCUUACCGGGAGUCAGACUAUACGAGAUAAGUUGGAUAGUCAAAAGGGAAAGAGCCCAGACCUCCAGCUAAGGUCCCAAAGUGCGUGUUAAGUGGAAAAGGAUGUGGGAUUUCGAAGACAACCAGGAUGUUGGCUCAGAAGCAGCCAUACAUUCAAAGA